CAAUGACUUUCAGUUCAAUGGCCGCGGUAUCUUGACCGUGCAAAGGUAGCAUAAUCACUUGCCCCUUAAUUAGGGGCUGGCAUGAAAGGACACACGAAAGCUUCCCUGUCUCAUAAUAAUAAAUAAAAAUUAAUCUUUAAGUGAAAAAGCUUAAAUAAAAUUGCAGGACAAGAAGACCCCGUUGAGCUUUAUUCUCUAUAGACUAACCUAAAUAUUUACUAUACCCUAAACCUAAAAAAGAAUUUAGUUGGGGUGACUAAGGAACAUCAUAAACUUCCUCUAUUUAUUUAGGGUUAUUUCCCGAAAAAAUUGACCCAUAAAUUAUGAUCAAAAAAAUAAGCUACCACAGGGAUAACAGGCUAAUCUUUCUUAAGAGCCCAAAUUGUCAGAAAGGAUUGGCACCUCGAUGUUGGCUUAGGGGCCCCUAAUGGUGCAGAAGCCAUAAACGGUAGGUUUGUUCAACCUUUAAAACCC
This 474-nucleotide ribosomal RNA is filed under the name Escarpiid sp. n. MPM-2010. Its description in RNAcentral is "partial 16S ribosomal RNA". It matches the Rfam family "Bacterial large subunit ribosomal RNA", at positions 1910 to 2596 of the family's 2925-position model. The record is from RNAcentral. Lineage: Eukaryota; Metazoa; Annelida; Polychaeta; Sabellida; Siboglinidae.